This is a long non-coding RNA of Octopus sinensis (East Asian common octopus), 157 nucleotides long. RefSeq lists it as uncharacterized. The transcript has 3 exons. The record is from RefSeq and is a predicted model, not a curated record. NCBI's taxonomy places the organism in Eukaryota, Metazoa, Mollusca, Cephalopoda, Octopoda, Octopodidae.
GUGUAUAUAUAUAAAGGUAAAGACACCCUUUGGUCAUCAAUGACCAUGGGAUUGCACCUAGAAAGUUACCCUCCGAGGCACAAGUCCAGGCAAGGCUGUUUGUGGAAGGCCAGCAGUUGCCCAUGCAUACCAGCCUUCCCUCUCCACACCACUGAUG